ACAGAGGGUGCUAGUGUUGUUCGGAUUUAUUGGGCGUAAAGGGAGUGUAGGUGGUGGAUCAAGUCAGUGGUGAAAUUUCGGGGCUUAACCCCGAACUUGCCUUUGAUACUGAUUCACUUGAGUAUGGAAGAGGUUGAUAGAAUUCCUGGUGUAGCGGUGGAAUGCGUAGAUAUCAGGAGGAAUACCAAUAGCGAAGGCAGUCAACUGGGACAAUACUGACACUGAAACUCGAAAGCAUGGGGAGCAAACAG
Molecule: ribosomal RNA, 251 nt
Filed under: uncultured prokaryote
Description: partial 16S rRNA
Rfam family: Bacterial small subunit ribosomal RNA
Source: RNAcentral